GUGGGCGUGUCGGGGUGGUUAUCGGGCAUGACUAGAAAUAAUGUGGGCUUUGCCCGCGUAGGUUUGAAUCCUGUCGCUCAUG
Non-coding RNA from Ipomoea nil (Japanese morning glory), 82 nucleotides. NCBI's taxonomy places the organism in Eukaryota, Viridiplantae, Streptophyta, Magnoliopsida, Solanales, Convolvulaceae. The record is from Rfam.